This 255-nucleotide ribosomal RNA is filed under the name uncultured bacterium. Its description in RNAcentral is "partial 16S ribosomal RNA". It matches the Rfam family "Bacterial small subunit ribosomal RNA", at positions 524 to 776 of the family's 1533-position model. The record is from RNAcentral.
UACGUAGGGCGCAAGCGUUAUCCGGAAUUAUUGGGCGUAAAGAGCUCGUAGGCGGUUUGUCGCGUCUGCUGUGAAAACUGGAGGCUCAACCUCCAGCCUGCAGUGGGUACGGGCAGACUAGAGGUCGGUAGGGGAGUGUGGAAUUCCUGGUGGAGCGGUUGAAAUGCGCAGAUAUCAGGAGGAACACCCGUAGCGAAGGCGGCACCUCUGGGCCGAUACUGACACUGAGGAGCGAAAGCGUGGGGAGCGAACAGG